This 427-nucleotide ribosomal RNA is filed under the name uncultured Chlamydiae bacterium. Its description in RNAcentral is "bacterial SSU rRNA". It matches the Rfam family "Bacterial small subunit ribosomal RNA", at positions 958 to 1385 of the family's 1533-position model. Lineage: Bacteria; Pseudomonadati; Chlamydiota; Chlamydiia. The record is from RNAcentral.
AACGCGAAGAACCUUACCCAGGCUCGAAAUGUAGGUGGCGAUACCAGAGAUGGUAUUUUCCGUAAGGACGCCUAUAUAGGUGCUGCAUGGCUGUCGUCAGCUCGUGCCGUGAGGUGUUGGGUUAAGUCCCGCAACGAGCGCAACCCUUAUCAUUAGUUGCCAACGCGUAAUGGCGGGAACUCUAAUGAGACUGCCUAGGUUAACUAGGAGGAAGGUGAGGAUGACGUCAAGUCCGCAUGGCCUUUAUGUCUGGGGCUACACACGUGCUACAAUGGUCGGUACAGAAGGCAGCGAAAUCGUAAGAUGAAGCAAAUCCCAAAAGCCGGCCUCAGUUCAGAUUGUGGUCUGCAACUCGACCACAUGAAGUUGGAAUUGCUAGUAAUGACGAGUCAGCAACAUCGUCGUGAAUACGUUCCCGGGCCUUGUA